GUGUCAGCCGCCGCGGUAACACGUAGGAGACGAGCGUUAUCCGGAUUUACUGGGUGUAAAGCGCGUGCAGGCGGUCUGUUAAGUUGGAUGUGAAAGCUCCCGGCUAAACUGGGAGAGGUCGUUCAAAACUAGCAGACUAGAGUGUGGUAGAGGAGAGUGGAAUUCCGAGUGUAGCGGUAAAAUGCAUAGAUAUUCGGAAGAACACCAGUGGCGAAGGCGACUUUCUGGACCACAACUGACGCUCAGACGCGAAAGCCAGGGUAGCAAACGGGAUUAGAAACCCGGGUAGUCC
Molecule: ribosomal RNA, 292 nt
Filed under: uncultured bacterium
Lineage: Bacteria
Description: partial 16S ribosomal RNA
Rfam family: Bacterial small subunit ribosomal RNA
Source: RNAcentral